Molecule: ribosomal RNA, 253 nt
Filed under: uncultured bacterium
Lineage: Bacteria
Description: partial 16S ribosomal RNA
Rfam family: Bacterial small subunit ribosomal RNA
Source: RNAcentral
UACAGAGGGUGCAAGCGUUGUUCGGAUUCACUGGGCGUAAAGGGUGCGUAGGUGGUGAGGUAAGUCGGAUGUGAAAGCUCGGAGCUCAACUCCGAAAUGGCAUUGGAAACUACCUUGCUCGAGGGUUGGAGGGGGGGCUGGAAUACUUGGUGUAGCAGUGAAAUGCGUAGAUAUCAAGUGGAACACCAGUGGCGAAGGCGAGUCCCUGGACAACUCCUGACACUGAGGCACGAAAGCUAGGGGAGCAAACAGG